Long non-coding RNA from Phasianus colchicus (ring-necked pheasant), 1938 nucleotides. The record is from Ensembl. Lineage: Eukaryota; Metazoa; Chordata; Aves; Galliformes; Phasianidae.
GGCACUUAUGGGGCACAGAGUGACACGGCACAGAGGCGCUUAUGGGGCAGAGUUGAGCACUUAUGGGGCAGAUGAGACACUUAUGGGGCUCGGGGGCACUUGUGGAGCAGAGUUGGACACUUAUGGGGCAGAUUUGGGCACUUAUGGGGCACAGCGACAUUUAUGGAGCACUUAGAGGGCAUGGAGUGACACUUAUGGGGCAGAGUUGGUCACUUAUGGGGCACGGAGUGAUGCUUAUGGGGCACUUAUGGGGCAGAAGGACGCACUUAUGGGGCAGAGUUGGGCACUUAUGGGGCAGAGGGAGGCACUUAUGGGGCACAGAGUGACACGGCACAGAGGCACUUAUGGUGCAGAGUUGAGCACUUAUGGGGCAGGAGGAGGCACUUACGGGGCAGAUGAGACACUUAUGGGGCUCGGGGGCACUUGUGGGGCAGAGUUGGGCACUUAUGGGGCACAGGGGGCGCUUAUGGGGCAUGGAGUGACAUGGGGCACUUAUGGGGCACAACGACAACUAUGGAGCACUUAUAGGGCAUGGGGUGACGCUUAUGGGGCAGAGGGAGGCACUUAUGGGGCAGAAGGACACACUUGUGGGGGCACAGGGGUCACUUAUGGGGCAGAAGGACACACUUGUGGGGCACAGAGGUCACUUGUGGGGCAGAAGGACACACUUGUGGGGCACAGGGGUCACUUAUGGGGCAGAAGAACACAUUUGUGGGGCACAGGGGUCACUUACGGGUUCGAAAGACACACUUGUGGGGCAGAAGGACACACUUGUGGGGCACAGGGGUCACUUAUGGGGCAGAAGGACACACUUGUGGGGCACAGGGGUCACUUAUGGGGCACAGGGGUCACUGGUGGGGCAGAAGGACACACUGGUGGGGCACAGGGGUCACUUGUGGGGCAGAAGGACACACUUGUGGGGCAGAAGGGGUUCACUUAUGGGUCCGAAAGUCACACUUGUGGGGCAGAAGGACCCACUUAUGGGGCAGAAGGGGUUCACUUAUGGGUCCAAAAGACACACUUGUGGGGCACAGAGGUCACUUAUGGGGCACAGAGGUUCACUUAUGGGGCAGAAGGACACACAUGUGGGGCACAGAGGUCACUUAUGGGGCAGAAGGCCCCACUUGUGGGGCCCAGAGGUGACCCUCCCCCCCCAGCCCCCCGGCGCCUGCAGGUCUUUGCCCGCCUUCGCCCGCCGCCCCCCGGCCAGCAGCUCUGCCUGCGCCCCACGGCGCCACACGGCCUGCAGCUCCUGCAUGGCGCGGGCAGGGAGCCCAGCAACUUCCGGCUGGACGCCGUUUUCGGGCCGCUGUGCCCCACAGCUGCCGUUUAUUCGGGGUCUUUGGGGCCGCUGCUGCCCCAGCUGUUGGCCGGGACGGAGCUCACCCUGCUCUGCUAUGGGGCCAGCGGCGCCGGUGAGUAGGGGGGCACCCUAUAAGUGGGGGUCACCCUAAAUACGGGGGCACAGCACCUAUGGGGUCACCCUAUAAGUGGGGGCACCCCAAAGAUGGGGGCGGCACAAUUAUGGGGUCACCCUAUAAGUGGGGGCACCCUAUAAAUGGUGGUCACCCCAAAGAUGGGGGGCACCGCAACUAUGGGGUCACCCUAUAAGUGGGGGUCACCCCACAGUUGGGGGCAGUGCACCCAUGGGAUCACCCCACAGAUGGGGGUCACCCCGUAUUUGGGGUCACUGCACUUAUGGGGUCACCCCAUACUUGGGGUCACUACGCUUAUGGGGUCACCCCACCUGUGGGUUUUCUCCCACCUUUGGGUGCCCCCCCCCACCUAUGGGUGCUGCCCCCCCCCACCUAUAGGUGUCCCUCCACCUUUGGGUGCCUUCACCCCUGUCCCCAUUAGGUGUCCCCCCACCUUUGGGUGCUCCCCACCCCCCCAUGGGUGCUCCUGCACCCCCUUUGGGUUCUCCCCCUUCCCACCUAU